RNAcentral lists this ribosomal RNA (427 nucleotides) under uncultured bacterium. RNAcentral's name for it is "bacterial SSU rRNA". It matches the Rfam family "Bacterial small subunit ribosomal RNA", at positions 355 to 774 of the family's 1533-position model. The record is from RNAcentral.
UGGGGAAUUUUGGACAAUGGGCGCAAGCCUGAUCCAGCCGUGCCGCGUGCAGGAUGAAGGCCCUCGGGUUGUAAACUGCUUUUGUACGGAACGAAAAGCCUCUUUCUAAUAAAGAGGGGUGAUGACGGUACCGUAAGAAUAAGCACCGGCUAACUACGUGCCAGCAGCCGCGGUAAUACGUAGGGUGCGAGCGUUAAUCGGAAUUACUGGGCGUAAAGCGUGCGCAGGCGGUCUUGCAAGACAGUGGUGAAAUCCCCGGGCUCAACCUGGGAACUGCCAUUGUGACUGCAAGGCUGGAGUACGGCAGAGGGGGAUGGAAUUCCGCGUGUAGCAGUGAAAUGCGUAGAUAUGCGGAGGAACACCGAUGGCGAAGGCAGUCCCCUGGGCCUGUACUGACGCUCAUGCACGAAAGCGUGGGGAGCAAACA